GCCUUCCAGAUGUUUUGGGACUACAAUUCCCAUCGCCCCUGACCACUGGUCCUGUUAGCUAGGGAUCAUGGGAGUUGUAGUCCCAAAACAUCUGGAGGGC
Molecule: microRNA precursor, 100 nt
Filed under: Podarcis lilfordi (Lilford's wall lizard)
Lineage: Eukaryota; Metazoa; Chordata; Lepidosauria; Squamata; Lacertidae
Source: RNAcentral